RNAcentral lists this ribosomal RNA (469 nucleotides) under uncultured bacterium. Its description in RNAcentral is "partial 16S ribosomal RNA". It matches the Rfam family "Bacterial small subunit ribosomal RNA", at positions 331 to 792 of the family's 1533-position model. The record is from RNAcentral.
CCAGACUCCUACGGGAGGCAGCAGUAGGGAAUUUUCGUCAAUGGGCGCAAGCCUGAACGAGCGAUGCCGCGUGAGUGAAGAAGGCCUUCGGGUCGUAAAGCUCUGUUGCGGGGGAAAAAAGGCAGCAUCAGGAAAUGGGUGCUGACUGAUGGUGCCCCGCCAGAAAGUCACGGCUAACUACGUGCCAGCAGCCGCGGUAAUACGUAGGUGGCGAGCGUUAUCCGGAAUGAUUGGGCGUAAAGGGUGCGCAGGCGGUCCUGCAAGUCUGGAGUGAAACGCAUGAGCUCAACUCAUGCAUGGCUUUGGAAACUGGAGGACUGGAGAGCAGGAGAGGGCGGUGGAACUCCAUGUGUAGCGGUAAAAUGCGUAGAUAUAUGGAAGAACACCAGUGGCGAAGGCGGCCGCCUGGCCUGUUGCUGACGCUGAGGCACGAAAGCGUGGGGAGCAAAUAGGAUUAGAUACCCGAGUA